Molecule: long non-coding RNA, 2582 nt
Organism: Stylophora pistillata
Lineage: Eukaryota; Metazoa; Cnidaria; Anthozoa; Scleractinia; Pocilloporidae
Source: RefSeq, a predicted model, not a curated record
GCAGAAGACAGUCAAAAUAUAGAAAAAAAUAAACGAAUUUAUUUUGUUAUAUAACAGAUCUUUAAUUGACCAAACUUUUUCGGUCAAAAUGGCUGAAAAUAUUGCAUCUUUGACGGUUGACGGUCAAUAUUUUGCCCAUUUGACGAUUGACGGUUAACCCUAAUUGAGACUCUCUCUUAUGUACCUGGAGGAAAACAGUUUUAGACUGUCUUUCUCGAUGAUGUUCUAACAAUAUUAAAACCUCCUUUAACCUCUUCUGAGAAACGUAAACAUAAUGUGACCCUUGGCUUUUCAUAAUUUGCAUAACGUCUGAUGAGUAUUGACAAACGGAUUAAAACAUUUAUUUCGUGCAAAAUUUAAAACCGUCGGUAAUCACAUGUAUCAUUUGAUCAUAUCGCAUCGCAUUUCAGCAUCUCUUUGACCUGCCUAAGCUUGUUUCACUCGUCUAAAGCAAUUCUCUUUCACAAACGGCACAGUCAUACCAAUGAUGGAUUCUAAGAUCGACAUCGGGCAGGAGAACAUUUAUCCAAACAGGAAGAUGACGAGUCCAAAUAGCAAGACGACGCCGAAACCUAUGAUGAUAUAAUUCCCAGAAACGACCCUCCUUAGGCAAAGCCAGACGUGGAAGUCCAGCCGUGUAAAUAUUUUGCCACAGUGAAACAUCACCGAUUAUUCUUCAUCGCAUCUGCAAUUGGUUUUGGUCGUGGCAAUGAUGGCGUCACGGAGCGAAUUUUCGACAAGUGCGGCUACCAUUUCCCCUUCUUGUAGUACGUAAACACUUAUAUUAAUUGCUGUAGGCACUUUACAGAAACGGAAAUACGUUAGCACAAGGCAAAGGUUUAUCCUUGACGCAUGUAACCAGACCUGACCCUUUGAAAAUAUGCAACCAGACCUAACCCUAUAGACAAUAGGCGAGGAAAGUGUCGAUGUUUAAUGCUGUUUACGGAUCUGACAGAUCCUUUGGCCGCUAAACAAGGGGACACAGCCAUUAGAAACGAGUUCGAAAUUCCAACAUCUCUGGGGUAACCAAACUAUCUUUGAUGCUGAGUUUUUAGCCAUCGGUAAGUUGUACAGCCGAGUCUCUCGUCUGUUGCCAGUAAAAUCUUUUGAAUAAAUGUCAGUCAGCAAAUACAGACCUGUCUGUUGCUUGCAUGCUGAGCGAAAACUGACUGGAACUGGACUGGACUAUAGAACCUGGGAAGGUACAGUGUAUAGUAUUUUGCAAAAUUGUUGAUGGGACAGGGUUCACGCAAAGAUUCUGAAGAGGUGUUCUUUACCUUCAAAAGCACUACAAGAAUAUAUUCAAGGAUAUACCAGAAGACUAGAGCAGGAUGAUUCCUCAAGGCAUUCAAAUUAACCUCAAGUCAUUUUCACGACUACCAGGUUUAGGCGCGGGGAGGCUGGAAAGAAAGAAAAACGAGGAUAACACAAGGUGCUAGACACGCACGGUUGUGCCUUGUGCUUGCCUUCGCUUGUACCUCGUGCGGGCCUCCACUUGUCAGAAACAGGAAAAAAGGAAGAAAAAUUACGCCUGUCCUGCAGGAUACGAGAUCCCUUGAGCCUAGUUUAUUUAGGAUUUGUCUCCAGCUGGUUUUGGCUAAACUCCAUUCUGGGUUACAUUUGGGAUCAUUAGAAGACACUACCUUGGAUUUCGAUGUUUUACUGCGUGAACUGCAAGAGAAAUGAAUACGCAUUGAGUGAAUCAAUGGUGGACUGCUUGAAUAACUCUUUGAGGGAAUUUACAAGUCACUAUUUACAGCCGCCCAUGGCGACAGUGUUACAGACCCACAAAAAGAUGGUCUCCGUUGGAACUUCUUCAACAGAGUAUUUCAGGUAGGGGAUCUAUGGAUUGACCAUUGCUAACAAAUACGACUAUAAACGUUCUCACAGCAUGAUAUGUGAAAAGGAAAUUCAGCAUUUCACACACACUGAAAACGCUAUGCAUCAUUGACACAUCCGACAUGUAUUAAAAGUUAUAAAAAUUUUCUCCAAAAAUCUUCUUUAUUUUAUACUUGACUGGUUAUUUGAUGUACACAGCCUGUCACAAAUCGAACCACAAAUCAAUAGUUAACGAAACUCGAAACAUGUAAUUCUAAAUCAGUUACUGAGAAACAAAGAUAGUUGAAAUUACGACAGAUUUAUUACAAAUUUAUAGUUAGAUCUGUUCAUGGAAAAACAUCAUGCUCCUCCAACAAGUAUAUUUGUAGACAGAUUGUACUUGUUCGGUUAGUUGUCUAUCUUCAGUUGUACCAGUUAUCAUUUCUCAAAUCGGAAAACUUAAUUUCAUAACAAGUGCCAUUCUAAGGGCCAUGUAGCCCCAGGCAUGUAGCCUGUUUUGUAGAAGGUCUUCUCUUGUAUUCAGGAUUGACUUUCUGUCACUUCUUGACGAUUUUGUUGAGGUUUAUUGAAAGACCUUUAGUGUAUUAUAUUCUAUUUUUUCUUGAAGAUAGUUUUUGGUGACUAGAAUGCUUGUCCUGGCAACCAAAAAUUAAAACUUGGAGGCCAGGUGGCCCCAAGAUUUUUUUCUGAAAGUGGAGCCCUGCAUAUGGUACCUAGAAGGGAGAAUUUAAAAUCAGAAGGGC